UGGCAUGAAGUGGGACGGCUAUGGACUCAGGCUGUUUGUUGGUGAGGAGAGGGAAAAUGGAGAGGAGUCAGCAGAAUGCAAAGAAAGUCCUGGCAGGGGGCGGGAGAAGAGUGCGGGGCCUGGCACGAGGAUGCUCAUUGGCGAGAAGCAGAGCGAGAGGAGAGCGCCCGGGCACGGCGAGGACAGGCGAGGAGAGCGCGGAGGGCGCGGCGACUGAGCACCUGGGCGGCCAGACCCUGGGCGCAGGACAGCCGGGCGGAGGGGUCCCGGGUGCUAGGAGUUCAGGACGUGAGUGGUCCAGGGCACAUUGGAGGACUCGCGUGGUCCCGCAGACAGCCGCCCACCAUGAGCGAGACCAGCCGGCUGUGCUCUGGCUACUACAGCCUCAACCACACCUUCGUGGAGCCCUUCCAGUGCCCCCGGCGCGGCGAGGGGGCCGCGCUCCUCUACUGCUGCGGCUUUGCGGACCUGAAGUACUGCUGCAGCGAGCCGGGCAGCUACUUCCCCUACAAGCACAGCUACAUGUGGAGCCUCAGCAUUGGUGCUCUGAUUGGAUUGGGAAUCGCUGCCCUUGUUUUACUUGCUUUUGUCAUCAGCGUCUGUGUCCUCUGCUAUUUAUUUCUGUACACAAAGCCUCACAGAUUAGACACUGGCCUUAAACUUCAACACCUCGAGGCUUCUUCCUCUCAAGAAGAUUACUGUACGUAUCUUUGUGAAAAUUCACAUUGAAUCAGCUCUUAAUGAUUGAAAACCUUCGGAAAUUGUGUUCAAGGAAAAAGAGCAGCCUGAUGUUAAAGUCCUCCUGAAAAGUCAAUUGUUGGUUCAGCAACUUAAAUAGGAAAACUAAAGCCCUCAAUUCAAAUGCAGCAUCAAAUUCAACAAAUGAAACAUCUUAUGAAGCUGAUGAUGUAACUCAAGAAAAAGCAAUGGAUACAGCACAAAUCAAUAUUGCUUAUUAACGGAAAAUUCUGUGUUUUAAAAGCUCAUUGGAG
Heterocephalus glaber (naked mole-rat) is the source of this 992-nucleotide non-coding RNA. The record is from RefSeq and is a predicted model, not a curated record. NCBI's taxonomy places the organism in Eukaryota, Metazoa, Chordata, Mammalia, Rodentia, Bathyergidae.